UGGGGAAUAUUGCACAAUGGGCGCAAGCCUGAUGCAGCCAUGCCGCGUGUAUGAAGAAGGCCUUCGGGUUGUAAAGUACUUUCAGUCGGGAGGAAGGUGUCAAGGUUAAUAGCCUUGGCAAUUGACGUUACCGACAGAAGAAGCACCGGCUAACUCCGUGCCAGCAGCCGUGGUAAUACGGAGGGUGCAAGCGUUAAUCGGAAUUACUGGGCGUAAAGCGCACGCAGGCGGUUGAUUGAGUCAGAUGUGAAAUCCCCGGGCUUAACCCGGGAAUUGCAUCUGAUACUGGUCAGCUAGAGUCUUGUAGAGGGGGGUAGAAUUCCAUGUGUAGCGGUGAAAUGCGUAGAGAUGUGGAGGAAUACCGGUGGCGAAGGCGGCCCCCUGGACAAAGACUGACGCUCAGGUGCGAAAGCGUGGGGAGCAAACAGG
RNAcentral lists this ribosomal RNA (429 nucleotides) under Chloroflexota bacterium. RNAcentral describes it as "Chloroflexi bacterium partial 16S ribosomal RNA". It matches the Rfam family "Bacterial small subunit ribosomal RNA", at positions 355 to 776 of the family's 1533-position model. Lineage: Bacteria; Bacillati; Chloroflexota. The record is from RNAcentral.